UAAGGGCGCACGGUGGAUGCCUUGGCACUAGAAGCCGAUGAAGGACGUUACUAACGACGAUAUGCUUUGGGGAGCUGUAAGUAAGCUUUGAUCCAGAGAUUUCCGAAUGGGGAAACCCAGCAUGAGUUAUGUCAUGUUAUCGAUAUGUGAAUACAUAGCAUAUCAGAAGGCACACCCGGAGAACUGAAACAUCUUAGUACCCGGAGGAAGAGAAAGAAAAUUCGAUUCCCUUAGUAGCGGCGAGCGAAACGGGAAGAGCCCAAACCAACAAGCUUGCUUGUUGGGGUUGUAGGACACUCUAUACGGAGUUACAAAGGACGACAUUAGACGAAUCAUCUGGAAAGAUGAAUCAAAGAAGGUAAUAAUCCUGUAGUCGAAAAUGUUGUCUCUCUUGAGUGGAUCCUGAGUACGACGGAGCACGUGAAAUUCCGUCGGAAUCUGGGAGGACCAUCUCCUAAGGCUAAAUACUCUCUAGUGACCGAUAGUGAACCAGUACCGUGAGGGAAAGGUGAAAAGCACCCCGGAAGGGGAGUGAAAUAGAACCUGAAACCGUGUGCUUACAAGUAGUCAGAGCCCGUUAAUGGGUGAUGGCGUGCCUUUUGUAGAAUGAACCGGCGAGUUACGAUUUGAUGCAAGGUUAAGCAGUAAAUGUGGAGCCGUAGCGAAAGCGAGUCUGAAUAGGGCGUUUAGUAUUUGGUCGUAGACCCGAAACCAGGUGAUCUACCCUUGGUCAGGUUGAAGUUCAGGUAACACUGAAUGGAGGACCGAACCGACUUACGUUGAAAAGUGAGCGGAUGAACUGAGGGUAGCGGAGAAAUUCCAAUCGAACCUGGAGAUAGCUGGUUCUCUCCGAAAUAGCUUUAGGGCUAGCCUCAAGUGAUGAUUAUUGGAGGUAGAGCACUGUUUGGACGAGGGGCCCCUCUCGGGUUACCGAAUUCAGACAAACUCCGAAUGCCAAUUAAUUUAAUUUGGGAGUCAGAACAUGGGUGAUAAGGUCCGUGUUCGAAAGGGAAACAGCCCAGACCACCAGCUAAGGUCCCAAAAUAUAUGUUAAGUGGAAAAGGAUGUGGCGUUGCCCAGACAACUAGGAUGUUGGCUUAGAAGCAGCCAUCAUUUAAAGAGUGCGUAAUAGCUCACUAGUCGAGUGACACUGCGCCGAAAAUGUACCGGGGCUAAACAUAUUACCGAAGCUGUGGAUUGUCCUUUGGACAAUGGUAGGAGAGCGUUCUAAGGGCAUUGAAGCAUGAUCGUAAGGACAUGUGGAGCGCUUAGAAGUGAGAAUGCCGGUGUGAGUAGCGAAAGACGGGUGAGAAUCCCGUCCACCGAUUGACUAAGGUUUCCAGAGGAAGGCUCGUCCGCUCUGGGUUAGUCGGGUCCUAAGCUGAGGCCGACAGGCGUAGGCGAUGGAUAACAGGUUGAUAUUCCUGUACCACCUAUAAUCGUUUUAAUCGAUGGGGGGACGCAGUAGGAUAGGCGAAGCGUGCGAUUGGAUUGCACGUCUAAGCAGUAAGGCUGAGUAUUAGGCAAAUCCGGUACUCGUUAAGGCUGAGCUGUGAUGGGGAGAAGACAUUGUGUCUUCGAGUCGUUGAUUUCACACUGCCGAGAAAAGCCUCUAGAUAGAAAAUAGGUGCCCGUACCGCAAACCGACACAGGUAGUCAAGAUGAGAAUUCUAAGGUGAGCGAGCGAACUCUCGUUAAGGAACUCGGCAAAAUG
This 1714-nucleotide ribosomal RNA is filed under the name Staphylococcus aureus. RNAcentral describes it as "partial 23S ribosomal RNA". It matches the Rfam family "Bacterial large subunit ribosomal RNA", at positions 12 to 1724 of the family's 2925-position model. Lineage: Bacteria; Bacillati; Bacillota; Bacilli; Caryophanales; Staphylococcaceae. The record is from RNAcentral.